This 212-nucleotide unclassified non-coding RNA is filed under the name soil metagenome. RNAcentral's name for it is "partial internal transcribed spacer 1". The record is from RNAcentral.
AUGAUUGGUGGCUGUUGCUGACUAGUGUUUCUAGUAUGUGCACGCCACACCUUCAAUCCCACUUACACCUGUGCACCUUCUGUAGUACUCACUUGUGGACGCAGACGUGGAAGUCUUCACUGACUUUCCUACUCUGCUGAAGCAGUAUACUACGUUUUUUACACACACACACAAGAGUCAUUGAAUGUAUAUUUUAUUUCUUAUGAUAAAAA